UGGGAAUGAGUCUGGAAAUGAGCAGUGA
This 28-nucleotide non-coding RNA is filed under the name Mus musculus (house mouse). Lineage: Eukaryota; Metazoa; Chordata; Mammalia; Rodentia; Muridae. The record is from RNAcentral.